RNAcentral lists this ribosomal RNA (444 nucleotides) under uncultured bacterium. Its description in RNAcentral is "SSU rRNA". It matches the Rfam family "Bacterial small subunit ribosomal RNA", at positions 26 to 518 of the family's 1533-position model. The record is from RNAcentral.
AGAGCGAACGCUGGCGGCAGGCCUAACACAUGCAAGUCGAGCGCCCCGCAAGGGGAGCGGCAGACGGGAGAGUAACACGUGGGAACGUACCCUUUGGUUCGGAACAACACAGGGAAACUUGCGCUAAUACCGGAUAAGCCCUUACGGGGAAAGAUUUAUUGCCAAAGGAUCGGCCCGCGUCUGAUUAGCUUGUUGGUGAGGUAACGGCUCACCAAGGCUACGAUCAGUAGCUGGUCUGAGAGGAUGAUCAGCCUCACUGGGACUGAGACACGGCCCAGACUCCUACGGGAGGCAGCAGUGGGGAAUAUUGGACAAUGGGCGCAAGCCUGAUCCAGCCAUGCCGCGUGGAUGAUGAAGGCCCUAGGGUUGUAAAGUCCUUUCGACGGGGAAGAUAAUGACGGUACCCGUAGAAGAAGCCCCGGCUAACUUCGUGCCAGCAGCCGC